AAUACAUGUCGCCGUUGACUUUUCACCCUAUGUUUGACCAUUCGUUUUAUUUAAAAAAUUUAUGCAAAUAUUAUUUAUUUUAUUAUGAAUUAGUUUAUUACUAUAGACAUUUUAAACUUGACUUGUAUUUUUGUAUAUUUACAUAAAUUUUUUGAAUAAGACAAAUGGUCAAACAUGUGAUAAAAAGUCAACGGCGACGUGUAUU
RNAcentral lists this microRNA precursor (205 nucleotides) under Leersia perrieri. RNAcentral's name for it is "MIR812 microRNA precursor family". It matches the Rfam family "MIR812 microRNA precursor family". Lineage: Eukaryota; Viridiplantae; Streptophyta; Magnoliopsida; Poales; Poaceae. The record is from Rfam by way of RNAcentral.